RNAcentral lists this non-coding RNA (27 nucleotides) under Mus musculus (house mouse). Lineage: Eukaryota; Metazoa; Chordata; Mammalia; Rodentia; Muridae. The record is from RNAcentral.
AAGGAGAGGUACUAAGACAGUUCUGGA